RNAcentral lists this ribosomal RNA (540 nucleotides) under uncultured bacterium. RNAcentral's name for it is "bacterial SSU rRNA". It matches the Rfam family "Bacterial small subunit ribosomal RNA", at positions 94 to 630 of the family's 1533-position model. The record is from RNAcentral.
AGCGGCGGACGGGUGAGCAAUGCCCUGGGAAUCUGCCCAUCAGUGGGGGACAACCCGGGGAAACUCGGGCUAAUACCGCAUACGUUCUGAGGAAGAAAGCAGGGGAUCGCAAGACCUUGCGCUGACGGAUGAGCCCAAGUCGGAUUAGCUAGUUGGUGAGGUAAAAGCUCACCAAGGCGACGAUCCGUAGCUGGUCUGAGAGGACGACCAGCCACACCGGAACUGAGACACGGUCCGGACUCCUACGGGAGGCAGCAGUGGGGAAUAUUGGACAAUGGGGGCAACCCUGAUCCAGCGACGCCGCGUGGGUGAAGAAGGCCUGCGGGUUGUAAAGCCCUUCGUUGGGGAAGAAAAGUUUCGACCUAACACGUCGGGACCUUGACGUUACCCAAAGAAGAAGCACCGGCUAACUCUGUGCCAGCAGCCGCGGUAAUACAGAGGGUGCGAGCGUUAAUCGGAAUUACUGGGCGUAAAGCGCACGUAGAUGGCUUUGUAAGUCGGAUGUGAAAUCCCCGGGCUUAACCUGGGAACUGCAUUCGA